AAAGUCAGCGAAGGAAAUGCUUCUGGCUUUUAACAGAUAAAAAGAGACCGAACACGAUUCCUGUAUUCGGUCCAGGGAAAUGGCUCUUGGGAGAGAGCCGUGCGCUAAAAGUUGGCAUUAAUGCAGGCUUAGUUGCCUUGCCCUUUAAGAAUAGAUGACGACGCCAGGUUUUCCAGUUUGCGUGCAAAAUGGUCAAUAAAAAGCGUGGUGGUCAUCAGCUGAAAUGUUAAAAACCGCCCGUUCUGGUGAAAGAACUGAGGCGGUUUUUUUAU
RNAcentral lists this small RNA (272 nucleotides) under Escherichia coli str. K-12 substr. MG1655. Lineage: Bacteria; Pseudomonadati; Pseudomonadota; Gammaproteobacteria; Enterobacterales; Enterobacteriaceae. The record is from RNAcentral.